UGAGCUCUGACAUGACAGUUCCA
Molecule: non-coding RNA, 23 nt
Filed under: Mus musculus (house mouse)
Lineage: Eukaryota; Metazoa; Chordata; Mammalia; Rodentia; Muridae
Source: RNAcentral